This 253-nucleotide ribosomal RNA is filed under the name uncultured bacterium. RNAcentral's name for it is "partial 16S ribosomal RNA". It matches the Rfam family "Bacterial small subunit ribosomal RNA", at positions 524 to 776 of the family's 1533-position model. The record is from RNAcentral.
UACGUAGGGACCAAGCGUUGUUCGGAUUUACUGGGCGUAAAGGGCGCGUAGGCGGCGCGGUAAGUCACUUGUGAAAUCUCUGAGCUUAACUCAGAACGGCCAAGUGAUACUGCAGUGCUAGAGUGUGGAAGGGGCAAUCGGAAUUCUUGGUGUAGCGGUGAAAUGCGUAGAUAUCAAGAGGAACACCUGAGGUGAAGACGGGUUGCUGGGCCAACACUGACGCUGAGGCGCGAAAGCUAGGGGAGCAAACAGG